UGGGGUGUCGCCAAGUGGUUAAGGCAGCGGUUUUUGGGGCCGCUAUACGAAGGUUCGAAUCCUUCCACCCCAAC
Molecule: transfer RNA, 74 nt
Filed under: bacterium BMS3Bbin04
Lineage: Bacteria
Description: tRNA-Gln
Rfam family: tRNA
About the family: Transfer RNA (tRNA) molecules are approximately 80 nucleotides in length. Their secondary structure includes four short double-helical elements and three loops (D, anti-codon, and T loops).
Source: RNAcentral